UUCUUAUCAGUGUAAGCACUUAGUGAGUUACACUUGUUCCAAGCCUAUCUCACGGUUAUCCCAGUUCUUUUCCUGAGGACUCUUCUUUCCACUUGGGCUAUUUUCAAUUAGAACUUUGUUUCUUCUUCAGGUUGCAAAGAAGAAUGUAAUCUUGUAGAGUACCUUGCCUUCCCUUCCAUACAUUCAGCAGACAUAGUUCCUUUAAGGGAUUUUACUGCUAGGAGAAUUUCAUAGGUCAUAUUCCCAUGUUACUGCUUCACAGGUAUUUACUUAUUUACUUACUUAUCACAGAAAUCCUUUAGGGGAAAGAGACAAUAAUGAUGGGAUGUUGUAAAUUUUUGGAAGUAGAGAGGUUCGGAUUGUGAAGAGGAGAUGAGAUAAAUAGUAAGUGGCACUGCAAAGAGAAAGGGAGAUUUUUCUCUACUAGUAGAAGUGGCUUAUGAAGAAGGAACUUCAACAAGCUGUUCUGCUCCAUUUUAUAAAUGUAUGAUUAUAGAUUGCCAAUAGUUAAUGCCGUGAGUACUUGAUACUGUAAGGCUAUGGCUGUUUUUAAAGUAAGAUUAAUACUUUUAUCUUUGUGAUAAGUAAUUAGAAGCCCUUUGAAAUACUAAUCUAAAUUAUUUGUUUAUAUAGCUAUCUUAUGUCUGCCCUUUACACAGCGCUUAGCUGAUUUUUGUUAUCUUUUACCUGGUGAUUGCCACCAUUUGCCCCAAUGUGCUGAACCACUUAGAAAAAGCAAUGCCAUAGUUUCCUGCUUUCUUUUUCUAAAAGAAAAAGUCAUACAGCAAGGUUCUGUUACUGAAGCCAAAACUUCAUUAACUUGAUUAUUAUUGAGUAUUUUUGUUAUUUCUGGAGAUUUUGGGCCUUUUUACAAUGAAUAUAAAUGAUCAAAUUCUUAUGGUUUAUGGGGAUAUGUAUUUAAGUAUUCGUGUUCCAUAACUAGAACCAUUUGUUUCUGCAUUCGCCCUUGGUCAAGAGAGAAAGCAUGACAUUUUUUUCUUGAAAGGUUUGUUUUUAUUGAUGGUUAAAUUUAUUACUAGAAUUUUAUUUGUUUAAAUUAAUGCAUACUUACUCCUUCCUCCCUUCCUCUGUGAGAUUAAUUAACAUCAGGACAAUGAAGCUUCAUUGUAUCAGUUAUUACUAGACAGUUUAGUUGUUUGGGUAGGAUAUUGCGUGUCGAAUAUAGCAGUCUUUUCUUAUCACAAUCUUUACGAAAAAGUAGAAAAGAGCCUGGAUAACUGGAAUUAGAAAUAAUUGCCAACAAAAUAUGUUUUCUAGUCAAUAGGGACAGAUAAGCACGCUUUAAAAACAUUCAUUGUACUGCAGGUCAUAACUUUAAUUGAGACAUUUAGUUCUUGAUGAUUAAAACUAUUUUCUAAUUUGAUUUCAACUAACAUUUACUGAAUGCUUAUUCUUGAUUUUAAUAGAGAGCUUCCCACUUAAUCAUUCUUAUCAGAAGUGUUUAAUGUCAUCAUAGUUCUUUCUCUUGAUAGCCACUGAAAAGAAAAUGUUCAGGUUAUAAAGAAAAUGAAUCAUUU
This 1538-nucleotide long non-coding RNA is filed under the name Homo sapiens (human). RNAcentral's name for it is "non-protein coding lnc-MEF2C-8:1". Lineage: Eukaryota; Metazoa; Chordata; Mammalia; Primates; Hominidae. The record is from RNAcentral.